AACGUAGGUUCCGAGCGUUAUCCGGAUUUACUGGGCGUAAAGCGCGUUCAGGCGGUUUGGCAAGUCGGGCAUGAAAUCUCUCGGCUCAACCGGGAGAGGUUGUCCGAUACUGCUGGACUUGAGGGCAGUAGAGGGUGGUGGAAUUCCGGGUGUAGUGGUGAAAUGCGUAGAUAUCGGGAAGAACACCCGUGGCGAAGGCGGCUCUCUGGGACGGUACUGACGCUGAGACGCGAAAGCGUGGGGAGCGAACAGG
RNAcentral lists this ribosomal RNA (253 nucleotides) under uncultured bacterium. RNAcentral describes it as "partial 16S ribosomal RNA". It matches the Rfam family "Bacterial small subunit ribosomal RNA", at positions 524 to 776 of the family's 1533-position model. The record is from RNAcentral.